AUACGGAGGAUGCAAGCGUUAUCCGGAUUUAUUGGGUUUAAAGGGUGCGUAGGCGGGCUGUUAAGCGUGAGGUGAAAGCUCGGGGCUCAACCCCGGAACUGCCUCGCGAACUGGCGGGCUUGAAUGUCCGUGCCGUGGGGGGAAUGUGUGGUGUAGCGGGGAAAUGCAUAGAGAUCACACAGAACACCGAUUGCGAAGGCAUCUCACGAACGGAUGAUUGACGCUGAGGCACGAAAGCGUGGGGAUCAAACAGGAUUAGAUACCCUGGUAGUCCACGCAGUAAACGAUGAUAACUAACCGCUGGUUUUUCGGAAUCAGUGGCCAAGCGAAAGCGAUAAGUUAUCCACCUGGGGAGUACGACCGCAAGGUUGAAACUCAAAUGAAUUGACGGGG
This 393-nucleotide ribosomal RNA is filed under the name uncultured bacterium. RNAcentral describes it as "partial 16S ribosomal RNA". It matches the Rfam family "Bacterial small subunit ribosomal RNA", at positions 523 to 918 of the family's 1533-position model. The record is from RNAcentral.